RNAcentral lists this transfer-messenger RNA (402 nucleotides) under Fusobacterium sp. CAG:815. It matches the Rfam family "transfer-messenger RNA". From Rfam's summary of the family: Bacterial tmRNA, also known as 10Sa RNA or SsrA, is named for its dual tRNA and mRNA-like properties. Its role is to liberate the mRNA from a stalled ribosome. Lineage: Bacteria; Fusobacteriati; Fusobacteriota; Fusobacteriia; Fusobacteriales; Fusobacteriaceae. The record is from Rfam by way of RNAcentral. RNAcentral also lists the same sequence under 6 other names.
GGGGACGUUUUGGAUUUGACAGGAUGUUUUGGUGAAAAUAGGUUGCGUGUCCGAGAGCUGUUCUCGGUUAUCAACGGGCAAAACAAAUUAAAUGCUAACAAUGUAAUCAAAGCAGACUUCUCUAGAGCAAAUGCUUUAGCUGCAUAAGUCGCUGAUUCUAGCUACUCAUAGAACCCAGCUUGCCGGUUUUAUGGGUCCAUUAUGCAAGACGCAGUGUGUUGAUUGGUGGUAGACACAUCAAGAUAACCAUCAAGGGUUUAGAGUUUCCCUCAAAUAAAACCUAGGAUUAGCUUGUCAGGUUUUGAUAUUUUCCUGAGUUAAUCGAGAGAAUAAAUAUCUACACACGUAGAGGUUUAUUUUUAUCCAUUUUGGACGUGGGUUCGACUCCCACCGUCUCCACCA